Molecule: long non-coding RNA, 1254 nt
Filed under: Homo sapiens (human)
Lineage: Eukaryota; Metazoa; Chordata; Mammalia; Primates; Hominidae
Description: long non-coding RNA NONHSAT148716.1
Source: RNAcentral
AGAUCAUCCAGGACUUGGCCUCCAUGGUCCGGGAACUUCUUAUUCAAUUUUAUAAGUCAACUCGGUUCAAGCCUACUCGUAUCAUCUUUUAUCGGGAUGGUGUUUCAGAGGGGCAGUUUAGGCAGGUAUUAUAUUAUGAACUACUAGCAAUUCGAGAAGCCUGCAUCAGUUUGGAGAAAGACUAUCAACCUGGAAUAACCUACAUUGUAGUUCAGAAGAGACAUCACACUCGAUUAUUUUGUGCUGAUAGGACAGAAAGGGUUGGAAGAAGUGGCAAUAUCCCAGCUGGAACAACAGUUGAUACAGACAUUACACACCCAUAUGAGUUCGAUUUUUACCUCUGUAGCCAUGCUGGAAUACAGGGUACCAGUCGUCCUUCACACUAUCAUGUUUUAUGGGAUGAUAACUGCUUUACUGCAGAUGAACUUCAGCUGCUAACUUACCAGCUCUGCCACACUUACGUACGCUGUACACGAUCUGUUUCUAUACCUGCACCAGCGUAUUAUGCUCACCUGGUAGCAUUUAGAGCCAGAUAUCAUCUUGUGGACAAAGAACAUGACAGUGCUGAAGGAAGUCACGUUUCAGGACAAAGCAAUGGGCGAGAUCCACAAGCUCUUGCCAAGGCUGUACAGAUUCACCAAGAUACCUUACGCACAAUGUACUUCGCUUAAAUAGUCCAAGUAUAUUCUCUGAGAGGAAGUACUGAAAGAUGAAUUGACAUACAACGUAUGUUUCCAGUGAAGUCAAUUGAGUAAGGACACCUCCAGCCAUACAGAAACCAACACUGUGUGGGGGCCAAGGUCUGAUCCUUAUGUUAAUACAAGGAAGAUUGUUUACUUCAUCAAGGAACACAGCAUCAUUAUGCAAUAUGAAACCAGCCAACUGCUUUUUGUGCGGUCUCCUAUAGGAAGUAUCGCAAUUGUUUUGUUUUCAUUUCUUGUAGUCUAACCCUUUUAAUGCCUUUACCUCAAGUUGCUUGGCAGCACAACUAUCUUUGCAAAAAAAAGUAAAGAAAAAGUAAAUGAUGGUUUAAAAAAUACACACCUUCAUGAAUAAUCAAAGUGAUUUUUCAGAAUUAUGUGUGCAAAAAAUUAAUGUGCAUUCAUAUAUUCUUGUAAAAGGUGUCUGUGUAUUUUUAAAAUAUAUACAUCCAUACUUCAUAUGCAUAUAUAUCUAGAUCUGGAUUGAUAAUAGAUAUAUAUGUGUCUGUUAUAUAUUUUAGAGUUCAUUCCAUUGGGGAAUUUUCUUUCCCUU